Molecule: long non-coding RNA, 803 nt
Organism: Rhododendron vialii
Lineage: Eukaryota; Viridiplantae; Streptophyta; Magnoliopsida; Ericales; Ericaceae
Exons: 4
Source: RefSeq, a predicted model, not a curated record
ACAUCCAUCCUCUCUCUCUCUCUCUCUCUCUCCACUACCCAUCCACGGCCAAACGCCCCUGCUGCUCACCACCAUCUGAUCCGCUCGUCGUUACUGCGAGGCCCAGUGUUUCAAUUUCCAAACGGGAUCAAAGGACCGGCUCCUGGAACUAUUCCUAGGUCUAGCCGAUUCGACAUCGACGCUCUAUCUAGACCUCUCCUUCGACCGCCUACUCGAGUCCAGGCCUUGUGAUUCGGACCAGAACGAUAUGGUCAAGCGAGCGAUGAAGAUGGGAUCUGUGCUCCUCAAAGCCCAUAAGAGAUCUGCCAAAAAGCGUGCCACAAUGCACAACGCCGUCGUUUGGGCCCUGCCUCCCGAUCUCACUACCAAAAUUCGUGUGGAUUGAUUUAUUUUUUAGGGGGGUUUAGGUUUCGGUUAUUUGUUCGGUUGGAGUGCACAAAUCUCUUUGACGGUUUACCUGGAACACUGGAUAUGGAGUCUACUAUUGUGAUCAAGAGGGUGCAAUCUAAAUGUUACUUACCAAAAUGCAUAAAUUCUCAGCUGGCUCAAUGAUAGAGUUUACAUGGGCUAUCCUCAAUUUCCCACAAUCCCAUUGAUUUGUAUUUUGUGCCUUACUGAUUGCUGAUUGCACACCUCUAUUUUGAUUAAGGUAGGAGGAACUACAGACAAUCUUGAAUAAAGUUGUGCAAAGUUUGCUACUUGAGCCUUACCCGUUAGAUUGAUAGUUGCUUAGAAGGCUGCCUUGUGUUAGCUAGAAUGAAGGAGUAUCGUUCAAUGUUCAGUGUUCCAUGGAAAUAUCAAAG